GAGUAACCAUUAACAGUAACAAAAGAAAAUAUAUGAGAACCGACAAUACAUUUCUAGGGAACACAUCUGAACAUGUUGAAUUUUAAUUCCAAGAAGCUUCUAGAAUUACGGCCCACUGGUUUAGUCACUGGUUUAGUGCAAACCACGUGUCAAAGCAAGCGCCACGUGUUUAGGAAUAGGAGUAAUGGUACUAGUAGGAGACGAGUAGAUGAACAUGCGGAGCAACCUUCACACACUGGCCCCGAAUAAUUAGGCAUCUUAUCAUCAUUUCUUGCUUAUCAAGCUAACUAGGCUGAUUUGCUGGUCCCACGUGCUACCAAAUUAGACUAAUUAAUUUUUGGGAGAUUCACUAUUAUACCCAAUACAUGGGCCCAAAUUAUAAAAAUACCCUAUAUGAAAUGAACUUUAGAAACACACCCAAAACCCAUUUACAACAUAACAAAGAGGCUUUAACUUCUUAUAAAUUGCAAAACUGCCAUCAAUUUAUUAAAACAAGCCCAAACCCAAAAUUUC
Molecule: long non-coding RNA, 513 nt
Filed under: Prunus persica (peach)
Lineage: Eukaryota; Viridiplantae; Streptophyta; Magnoliopsida; Rosales; Rosaceae
Description: long non-coding RNA (PPER_LNC004156)
Source: RNAcentral